RNAcentral lists this long non-coding RNA (720 nucleotides) under Manihot esculenta (cassava). RNAcentral's name for it is "long non-coding RNA (MESC_LNC008071)". Lineage: Eukaryota; Viridiplantae; Streptophyta; Magnoliopsida; Malpighiales; Euphorbiaceae. The record is from RNAcentral.
UAGAAUUCAACAAAAUUGAGUCCCAACUCCCAUUCAUCAUCAUUCUUUCACUCUUUCCUCUAGUUUGUCUCCAUUCUCCACGUAGUCGCACACAUCUCACUCUCCACUCUCCUCCAGUCCAGUCUCCUCUCCAUGCAUUGUCGGGCCGUCGGCGUUGCGAGUCCUCUAUCGCUCUCCAGUGACUCCGCGUCCACGCAUCGUCGUUCGCCAGUGUCUCCACGCACCAUCGGGCUAUCGGCGUCACUCGCAUCGUCGCUCUCCAGUCUCUCCACGCAUCGUCAGCGUCGCUCUCCAGUUUCCACGCAUCGUCGGCCCGUUGCUGUUCGUAUACGCGCGGUCUCCGUCUUCUCAAUCAGCCUCUCACCAUCUCAGGUCGCGCUUCCACUCUAUCGACCAGUCUCCAAGACCAAGAGGUAAGAGGAUCCCAUUGCUUUGCUUUCCUUGUCGGCUUUUGUACCUCCAGCCCUCUAGCUCUAUUAUCGAUUCGCUGUUGAAGAUCUGCAAAUCCACUGUUCUCUGCUGUGUUGUAUGCUGUUGAGUAUUAAGUCAAAGUGUAGAAGGUAACUAAAUUUUUUUUUCUUAGGAGUAUUGACUAUUGAGAAAUAACUGUGUGCCGCUGAAAUUGUAUUUCAAUUUUAUAUACGUGUGUUGUCUACUGUUGAAUUUAUGUUGUGGUUGUGUGCUAUUAAAACUAUAUUUUAAUUUUGUGUCUGUGACUUU